Styela clava is the source of this 517-nucleotide non-coding RNA. The record is from RefSeq and is a predicted model, not a curated record. NCBI's taxonomy places the organism in Eukaryota, Metazoa, Chordata, Ascidiacea, Stolidobranchia, Styelidae.
UUUAUUUAUACCGAAAAGAAUGCAUACUUUCACUCAUCAACGACCGCGGAUACAAAUAACUUUGUGAGACGAUACUGCACGGGCAAGUUUUUGUUGUGAAAAAUGCUUGCAAAUCAUUGGUCGACGUUUUUAUUCGGUUAUGGUUAAUGUAAAAGAUUGAUGUAAAAAGUAUAUAAAUGGCAUCAAUUGAACCGUUCUGCCAUUGCAAAGUAUUCUUCCACCUUCUACGAAUUCGAUAAAAAGCGAUCGAGUCAGUAACGACGGGAAAGAUGAUGCUUGUUCGACUUUUGUUUUUUUUCGCACUUUGUGCAUUGGCGCUCGGCAACUACUAUCAACCGAAAAAGUGCUACGUGAAAAAGGUUAGUUUCACUUACUCCAAAAAAUAUCCUUUUGGAGACUUCAAUGGUCCAUAUGCUGAACCCAAACCACGCGGAGAAUAUUGCCGAAGUUCACAUUUUGCGCCCGCAAAGGCAGGAUAUUGUCCAAAUCACAAAUAUGGUUAUACAACAUAUGACAA